This 497-nucleotide ribosomal RNA is filed under the name uncultured bacterium. RNAcentral's name for it is "partial 16S ribosomal RNA". It matches the Rfam family "Bacterial small subunit ribosomal RNA", at positions 28 to 507 of the family's 1533-position model. The record is from RNAcentral.
GAUGAACGCUGGCGGCGUGCCUAAUACAUGCAAGUCGAGCGAACAGACGAGGAGCUUGCUCCUCUGACGUUAGCGGCGGACGGGCGAGUAACACGUGGAUAACCUACCUAUAAGACUGGGAUAACUUCGGGAAACCGGAGCUAAUACCGGAUAAUAUAUUGAACCGCAUGGUUCAAUAGUGAAAGACGGUUUUGCUGUCACUUAUAGAUGGAUCCGCGCCGCAUUAGCUAGUUGGUAAGGUAACGGCUUACCAAGGCAACGAUGCGUAGCCGACCUGAGAGGGUGAUCGGCCACACUGGAACUGAGACACGGUCCAGACUCCUACGGGAGGCAGCAGUAGGGAAUCUUCCGCAAUGGGCGAAAGCCUGACGGAGCAACGCCGCGUGAGUGAUGAAGGUCUUCGGAUCGUAAAACUCUGUUAUUAGGGAAGAGCAAAUGUGUAAGUAACUAUGCACGUCUUGACGGUACCUAAUCAGAAAGCCACGGCUAACUACGUG